RNAcentral lists this ribosomal RNA (615 nucleotides) under Klebsiella pneumoniae. Its description in RNAcentral is "partial 23S ribosomal RNA". It matches the Rfam family "Bacterial large subunit ribosomal RNA", at positions 2328 to 2925 of the family's 2925-position model. Lineage: Bacteria; Pseudomonadati; Pseudomonadota; Gammaproteobacteria; Enterobacterales; Enterobacteriaceae. The record is from RNAcentral.
UGGUCGGACAUCAGGAGGUUAGUGCAAUGGCAUAAGCUAGCUUGACUGCGAGCGUGACGGCGCGAGCAGGUGCGAAAGCAGGUCAUAGUGAUCCGGUGGUUCUGAAUGGAAGGGCCAUCGCUCAACGGAUAAAAGGUACUCCGGGGAUAACAGGCUGAUACCGCCCAAGAGUUCAUAUCGACGGCGGUGUUUGGCACCUCGAUGUCGGCUCAUCACAUCCUGGGGCUGAAGUAGGUCCCAAGGGUAUGGCUGUUCGCCAUUUAAAGUGGUACGCGAGCUGGGUUUAGAACGUCGUGAGACAGUUCGGUCCCUAUCUGCCGUGGGCGCUGGAGAAUUGAGGGGGGCUGCUCCUAGUACGAGAGGACCGGAGUGGACGCAUCACUGGUGUUCGGGUUGUCAUGCCAAUGGCACUGCCCGGUAGCUAAAUGCGGAAGAGAUAAGUGCUGAAAGCAUCUAAGCACGAAACUUGCCCCGAGAUGAGUUCUCCCUGAGACUAUAAGUCUCCUGAAGGAACGUUGAAGACGACGACGUUGAUAGGCCGGGUGUGUAAGCGCAGCGAUGCGUUGAGCUAACCGGUACUAAUGAACCGUGAGGCUUAACCUUACAACGCCGAAG